Molecule: ribosomal RNA, 1473 nt
Filed under: Triticum aestivum (bread wheat)
Lineage: Eukaryota; Viridiplantae; Streptophyta; Magnoliopsida; Poales; Poaceae
Description: partial small subunit ribosomal RNA
Source: RNAcentral
AUGGGCCUCAAGGCGGGCGGGGCGGGCAAGCUCAGGCUCCCGUCGGUGGUGGCCGCGGUGGCGCGGUCGCGGAUGAUGAAGCUGUGGGUGCUCCGCGCCACCGCCACGGUGCUGCUCUGGACCUGCCUCGUCCAGCUCACGGCCGUCGGGGAGACGUGGGGGCCGCGCGUCCUCAUGGGCUGGUCGUCGUGCCGGACGGCGCGGCUCGCGAUGACGGAGUCCGUCGUGGAGAAGGCCGUGCUGCCGCCAAGGAGAAUUUAUAGGAACAAUGGCUAUCUGAUGGUUUCAUGCAAUGGUGGGCUUAACCAAAUGCGAGCAGCUAUAUGUGACAUGGUUGCCAUUGCAAGAUAUUUGAAUGUGACUCUGAUAGUUCCCGAGUUGGAUAAGACAUCAUUUUGGCAUGACCCAAGUGAGUUCCAGGAUAUAUUCGACGUUGAACAUUUCAUAACUUCUCUGAGAGGCGAGGUUCAUAUACUUAGAGAAUUGCCUCCAAGAAUGAAGCAAAGAGUGGAAGUGGGGAUGUUUCACUCAAUGCCACCUAUUAGUUGGUCAGAUAUCUCCUAUUAUCAUAAUCAGAUACUUCCUUUGAUUCAGAAACACAAGGUUGUCCAUCUAAACCGAACUGAUGCCAGGCUUGCAAAUAAUGGUUUGCCCCUGGAUAUCCAGAAGUUGCGUUGCCGAGUUAAUUAUGGUUCACUGAAGUUCACACCCCAAAUUGAAGAGUUGGGUAGACGAGUGAUUCGAAUUCUCCGCAAAAAUGGCCCUUUCUUGGUUCUUCAUUUACGAUAUGAAAUGGAUAUGCUGGCGUUCUCUGGCUGUACUGAAGGUUGCACGCGUGAAGAGGCAGAUGAGCUCACUAGGAUGAGAUAUGCUUACCCAUGGUGGAAAGAGAAAGUCAUUGACUCUUAUGUGAAAAGAAAAGAUGGCUUUUGCCCAUUAACGCCUGAGGAGAUUGCUCUUGUCCUCAGAGCAUUGGAGGUUGACACUAGUAUGCAAAUAUAUAUCGCGGCUGGAGAAAUAUAUGGCGGAAAGCGCAGAAUGGCUUCUCUUACUUCAGCGUAUCCCAACGUGGUGAGAAAGGAGACGCUCUUGGAACCGUCUGAUCUCAGGUUCUUUCAGAACCAUUCAUCACAGAUGGCCGCACUCGAUUACUUGGUGUCACUCGAAAGUGACAUAUUUGUUCCAACAUAUGAUGGGAACAUGGCUAAGGUUGUCGAGGGGCAUCGCAGGUUCAUGGGAUUCAAGAAAACAAUCUUAUUGGACAGAAAAAUUAUCGUUGAUCUGGUUGAUCGGUAUAAGAGCGGCUCAUUGCCGUGGGAUGAGUUCUCUAAAUUAAUCAAGUCCGUCCACGCAAACCGGAUGGGGUCAGCUUCGAGAAGGACGGUGAUUCCUGACAAGCCCAAGGAGGAGGACUACUUCUAUGCUAACCCUCAAGAGUGUUUGCGUGACCCCGAUCUUCUACGGGCCUUGUGA